CAGCAGCCGCGGGAACACGUAGGGUGCAAGCGUUAAUCGGAAUUACUGGGCGUAAAGCGUGCGCAGGCGGUUAUAUAAGACAGAUGUGAAAUCCCCGGGCUCAACCUGGGAACUGCAUUUGUGACUGUAUAGCUAGAGUACGGCAGAGGGGGAUGGAAUUCCGCGUGUAGCAGUGAAAUGCGUAGAUAUGCGGAGGAACACCGAUGGCGAAGGCAAUCCCCUGGGCCUGUACUGACGCUCAUGCACGAAAGCGUGGGGAGCAAACAGGAUUAGAUACCCGAGUAGUCCCUGUCUCUUAUAC
Molecule: ribosomal RNA, 301 nt
Filed under: uncultured bacterium
Lineage: Bacteria
Description: partial 16S ribosomal RNA
Rfam family: Bacterial small subunit ribosomal RNA
Source: RNAcentral